Molecule: long non-coding RNA, 1235 nt
Organism: Pocillopora damicornis (cauliflower coral)
Lineage: Eukaryota; Metazoa; Cnidaria; Anthozoa; Scleractinia; Pocilloporidae
Source: RefSeq, a predicted model, not a curated record
GGUUAUAAUGGCGUCAGUCUCGUGGGUUGUAUGGUAAAGCAUACAGAGUGAAUCUUUUAAUGUUUUUUUUUUUAUUUUAGCGCCCAAAACAAUUUUCUGGGAUCGUGUUGAAUACUACUUGACCUACUUCAUUAUGUUUGAAGGCUGGAAUCAGGGAAAUUAAAGAUAAUUGUGCGUCAAUGACGAUUCCGUGGAGAAUUAGAAAUUUGGUUGCAUCCAACCUGUUUUAAAGACCACCCUAAGGACAACAAAAUUAUCUUCUUUGAGAGUUCUGUAACAAGCACAAACAGAGGAUAGUUAUAGAUGCUGCAUAACAUUUUUUAAUCACGGUAAAGAUGAUAAUGACAACAAAUAACACUGGAUAAUACAGUAGCUCAAGUAUGGCCAAAUUAAUCUAGAUGAUGGUACCUGGGUAAUUGUGGUUGACAUCUGUCAGAUUGGAGAAGUGUGGCUUUUGGACUCCAACAAGACUACAAACUAACACACUCCGAUUGAUACACUGUUAAGACAAGAAGAUAAAUGAAGAAAAUGAAUGGGAUAGAAACUUACAGAUGCUUGAAAGAAAACCAUUCUAAGGAGGAGGUCAAGGAACAUGAAAUGCUUCAAACCUUUGUGAGUAUGGUUGAAAAGGAAACUCAUGUAAUUAUUUUUAAACGGAGCUCAAAUUUGUAGAACAAAUAUUUCAAGUAUUGUUUUCAGUAAAUUGUUUUUGACCGUAAACAGAUGUAUCGAAAUUUUCUUACUUUUUUCUUACUUACUUUUUCCACUUUCAAAGACUGAGAGCAUUACAACUUUGAAAGAAACUCAGUGAAGACGAAAAUACGAUAUAUGUGGAAAGCAUGAUCGUGUGGCUAGCUUUUAUUUUGGAAUUCAGUGAAUUUGCAUCUUUAAAUUGAAUCAUUUUCGCAUAACUGCAAACCAUUUCCAAGUAGAAUUGAAUUGCCGUGGUUGUUGUUGUUUUUUUUUUUGCCGCAUCCUUCCCCCUUUCAGUUAUCGCAACUUUUACAUUGAAAAAGACGGUCAAGGAAUAAGAGGAGACUCAACUUUUCCGAAACGCAAAUAUUUAAAAAAUUGACACGAGUGGUUUUGGAGGAAGAGAAUACUCCUAGGAUCCGGAUGUGAGAGAAGGACAAAAGACAACGGAAGGUCCAAGAAAGGUCAAUGAAAAGGAGGGAGAAAUUUGCUAUCAUUCCGAAUUGUCUCGUGUAGUGCUCUUACUGUAAACUGAAACUGGU